RNAcentral lists this ribosomal RNA (399 nucleotides) under uncultured bacterium. RNAcentral's name for it is "partial 16S ribosomal RNA". It matches the Rfam family "Bacterial small subunit ribosomal RNA", at positions 338 to 734 of the family's 1533-position model. The record is from RNAcentral.
CCUACGGGCGGCAGCAGUGAGGAAUAUUGGUCAAUGGGCGCGACCCUGAACCAGCCAAGUAGCGUGAAGGAUGACUGCCCUACGGGUUGUAAACUUCUUUUAUAAAGGAGUAAAGUGAGGCACUUGUACCUUUGUGUAUGUACUUUAUGAAUAAGGAUCGGCUAACUCCGUUCCAGCAGCCGCGGUAAUACGGAGGAUCCGAGCGUUAUUCGGAUUUGUUGGGUUUAAAGGGAGCGUAGAUGGGUUGUUAAGUCAGUUGUGAAAGUUUCGGGCUCAACCGUAAAAUUGCAAUUGAUACUGGCAGUCUUGAGUACAGUUGAGGUAGGCGGAAUUCGUGGUGUAGCGGUGAAAUGCGUAGAUAUCACGAAGAACUCCGAUGGCGAAGGCAGCUUACUAAAC